CCUACGGGGGGCUGCAGUGGGGAAUAUUGGACAAUGGGGGCAACCCUGAUCCAGCCAUGCCGCGUGUGUGAAGAAGGCCCUCGGGUUGUAAAGCACUUUCAGUGAGGAAGAACGCCUGGUGGUUAAUACCCAUCAGGAAAGACAUCACUCACAGAAGAAGCACCGGCUAACUCCGUGCCAGCAGCCGCGGUAAUACGGAGGGUGCGAGCGUUAAUCGGAAUUACUGGGCGUAAAGCGCGCGUAGGUGGCUUGAUAAGCCGGUUGUGAAAGCCCCGGGCUCAACCUGGGAACGGCAUCCGGAACUGUCAAGCUAGAGUGCAGGAGAGGAAGGUAGAAUUCCCGGUGUAGCGGUGAAAUGCGUAGAGAUCGGGAGGAAUACCAGUGGCGAAGGCGGCCUUCUGGACUGACACUGACACUGAGGUGCGAAAGCGUGGGUAGCGAACAGGAUUAGAUACCCCAGUAGUC
RNAcentral lists this ribosomal RNA (465 nucleotides) under Vreelandella stevensii. RNAcentral describes it as "partial 16S ribosomal RNA". It matches the Rfam family "Bacterial small subunit ribosomal RNA", at positions 338 to 795 of the family's 1533-position model. Lineage: Bacteria; Pseudomonadati; Pseudomonadota; Gammaproteobacteria; Oceanospirillales; Halomonadaceae. The record is from RNAcentral.